This 90-nucleotide transfer RNA is filed under the name Campylobacter iguaniorum. Its description in RNAcentral is "tRNA-Leu". It matches the Rfam family "tRNA". Rfam says of the family: Transfer RNA (tRNA) molecules are approximately 80 nucleotides in length. Their secondary structure includes four short double-helical elements and three loops (D, anti-codon, and T loops). The record is from RNAcentral. Lineage: Bacteria; Pseudomonadati; Campylobacterota; Epsilonproteobacteria; Campylobacterales; Campylobacteraceae.
GCCCAGGUGGUGGAAUGGUAGACACAAGGGACUUAAAAUCCCUCGGAUAUUUUUUCCGUGCCGGUUCAAGUCCGGCUCUGGGCACCACCC